AUUUCUCUCUCCCCUUACGUUAGAGAAGUUCUGGAAGCUUUGCUUUAGGACUUUCUUUUCUGUUAAGAGGCCUCACUUAAAUCUUUAGAAAUUCAUUCUCUCUGAUCUCUAGGAUAGUUCUCUGCUAGUGGAUUACGUUCAUGUAGGGCCAUGAUGAAGUCAAAGAAGGCCAACCCAAUUAAAUUCAAGUCCAAUUGGAGCAAGGAAUCAAAGGAAAUUUGCACCUAAUCCAAGUCCAAUUCGGAUUAGGAUUCCAGCUUGCGGACCAGUUAGUAUUUGGAGCAUAACUUUUGGCUCAGAUGUCCAAUCGAGAUGAUUCAGUUGGGCUGGAAAGCUAACUUAAAGGGCUACAACUUUGUAGUUUAUCAAAAGUCCGAAUUCUAAAGUUAAAUGGGCAAAAAACGUUGGUUAAUUGCCUAAAAGCCUGAGAUUUUCUCCAAACGGGAAUUCAACUUGUAAUAGGAUUCCUUGACCUAUUUAAAGGCUCUUUAGGGAAAAAUUUAGAAGGGAAUUUCCAUAGAACAUAAUUUAGGUUUUCUUAAAGUUUUUUUAUUUUUUAUAGUUUUACUUGUGUUAUGGCUUACUAGAAGCCUUGCUAAGGCAAGGGGUGAAACCCAACCGUUUAUUGGUAUGUUCUUAACAAUUAUUUAUUGGUUUUAAUGCUUAUGUUUUUAUGUUUUUGACUGUUUUACUCAUCUAGAAAAGUGUUUAGUUCUGUAUAAUCCUUUGAUUUAUCAUAGACUCUGAGCAAGUUAAAUGCUUA
Quercus robur (English oak) is the source of this 763-nucleotide long non-coding RNA. RefSeq lists it as uncharacterized. The record is from RefSeq and is a predicted model, not a curated record. The transcript has 2 exons. Lineage: Eukaryota; Viridiplantae; Streptophyta; Magnoliopsida; Fagales; Fagaceae.